CAUGCUCAGGAUAAGUGGGUUUGUGUUUGCUUCAUGAUCCAAGCAUCAUAGUUUUUGUGUUGCUGCGGUUUUGACAAGUUUCUGGUUAUGCACUGGACUUGUUUGUGGCAAGGUCUCAGAGAGGGAUUUUGGGAUUUUGGAAUUGUUUUGUUUGUACUUAGCUCUUGUAAGUGUUGAAUAGAUUUGGGUCAUCCAUUUUUGUGGGGCCCAAAAAUAGGUUACCCAGAUCUGUUUGUGACAUGGUCUCUUCAGAUUUUUGAUCUUUGGAUCUGUUGUCUUUUAAAAUGAGGCCUUUGGCUGUCCUGUUUGUGUUUCUUCCUCUGUUUGGUUGAUUGAUUGAUUAAAUCUGUGUCAACAAUCUUGAGAUAUAAAUGUUAGUUUAAUGUGUGCAGGAGGUAAAUAAGAUGUGGGCAGGUUUUAGGUUAUUACAGACGGGCACGAUAUCUACUAGAGAUGAGCUCUUUUUUUGACUCUUGUGCAUCUAGAUAUUUGUAACACUAUUUGAUAUGAAUCUAUUUCUUGUUGGAUUUCAUUUGGUAUUUAAAAAUGGCAUUCUUAAUGGAUAGGAUGUGCUCUUUCAAGUUCAUUGGUUGACAGCGAUGCUAACCAAUUUCUUAUUCUCUAUGGCAAGAGACUCCAUGUGAGCUACUAAGCAGAUUCUGACGCUGUAUCUACUGAAUGGGAAGUUGAGAGUGAUGAUGAAAGUGAGGAAGAAUCUAAAUGUGGGUUAAGAACUUUGGUUGACAUGCCUCUUAACAGUUUUCCAUCUACAGUUUCUAAAGAAACUUUUGAACUCAAGAUCAAGGCUGCGGCAAAGAGGAUCUAUGUUGAUGUUGCUAUGCUCUUAGAACUAU
Camellia sinensis is the source of this 854-nucleotide non-coding RNA. NCBI's taxonomy places the organism in Eukaryota, Viridiplantae, Streptophyta, Magnoliopsida, Ericales, Theaceae. The record is from RefSeq and is a predicted model, not a curated record.